This 518-nucleotide ribosomal RNA is filed under the name Salmonella enterica subsp. enterica serovar Infantis. RNAcentral's name for it is "partial 23S ribosomal RNA". It matches the Rfam family "Bacterial large subunit ribosomal RNA", at positions 145 to 702 of the family's 2925-position model. Lineage: Bacteria; Pseudomonadati; Pseudomonadota; Gammaproteobacteria; Enterobacterales; Enterobacteriaceae. The record is from RNAcentral.
ACACUAUCAUUAACUGAAUCCAUAGGUUAAUGAGGCGAACCGGGGGAACUGAAACAUCUAAGUACCCCGAGGAAAAGAAAUCAACCGAGAUUCCCCCAGUAGCGGCGAGCGAACGGGGAGGAGCCCAGAGCCUGAAUCAGCAUGUGUGUUAGUGGAAGCGUCUGGAAAGGCGCGCGAUACAGGGUGACAGCCCCGUACACAAAAGCGCAUGUGCUGUGAGCUCGAUGAGUAGGGCGGGACACGUGGUAUCCUGUCUGAAUAUGGGGGGACCAUCCUCCAAGGCUAAAUACUCCUGACUGACCGAUAGUGAACCAGUACCGUGAGGGAAAGGCGAAAAGAACCCCGGCGAGGGGAGUGAAAAAGAACCUGAAACCGUGUACGUACAAGCAGUGGGAGCACAGGUUUACCUGUGUGACUGCGUACCUUUUGUAUAAUGGGUCAGCGACUUAUAUUCUGUAGCAAGGUUAACCGAAUAGGGGAGCCGGAGGGAAACCGAGUCUUAAUUGGGCGUUAAGUUG